This 493-nucleotide long non-coding RNA is filed under the name Medicago truncatula (barrel medic). RNAcentral describes it as "long non-coding RNA (MTRU_LNC008083)". Lineage: Eukaryota; Viridiplantae; Streptophyta; Magnoliopsida; Fabales; Fabaceae. The record is from RNAcentral.
UUUGUUUGUCUCCGCACAAGCCUCACACUAGAGUUUUUAUAAAAAGUACUAAAUAGAGAGAGCUUUACAAUUUUGAAUAAUACUUCCAAACCCUGUCGUGCCAUGCUUAGAGGAUAAGAAAUUAUCAACAACUCUCUUCGCAUCAAGCUUGAAAUCAACAGGUCCAAGAUGAAGCUUAUGAACUUAUUCUAAUGUCGGUAACAGUCCAAGAACUUCUUCCACAUGAAAAUCAUAAGGCGAACUAUACCAUCCAAUUUUAGCCAACACAAAGGAGCAUAUUUCAUGUUCUAAAAAUAAAAAAGUAGCAUAUUUCAGAGUUUUACAAUUUUGAAUAAUACUUUCAAACCUUGUCGUGCCAUGCUUAGAGGAUAAGAAAUUAUCAACAACUCUCUUCACAUCAAGCUUGAAAUCAACAGGUCCAAGAUGGAGCUUAUAAACUUAUUCUAAUGCCGGUAACAGUCUAAGAACUUCUUCCACAUAAAAAUCAUAAGGC